AGAAAUUUAGGCUAAAACCUUAAACCAAGAGCCUUCAAAGCUCUAAACAUGGACAAGACUCCAUAAUUUCUG
RNAcentral lists this transfer RNA (72 nucleotides) under Phyllopezus heuteri. RNAcentral's name for it is "tRNA-Trp". Lineage: Eukaryota; Metazoa; Chordata; Lepidosauria; Squamata; Phyllodactylidae. The record is from RNAcentral.